Molecule: long non-coding RNA, 240 nt
Filed under: Lathyrus oleraceus (garden pea)
Lineage: Eukaryota; Viridiplantae; Streptophyta; Magnoliopsida; Fabales; Fabaceae
Description: Pisum sativum (pea) long non-coding RNA (PSAT_LNC022015)
Source: RNAcentral
GUAGUUGUAAGUCCCAUCUCUUUUCCCCUAGCAGAGGUAACCUUUGUGGUUCGCUCUGGUUGAUGGUGGAUUUUGUGGUCUUCUACCCAGUAUUCGGUAGUUGUAAAUCCUAUAUUGUUGUGGUUUUAUUCCCAACGGAGUCUGUGCUUUCUUGUGGAUAGUUGCCGGAUGCUAGAAACCCUAUCCUCAGCCAGAGUUUUGGUCUUCUACCCCGUAUUCGGUAGAUGUAAACCCUAAUUU